CAGUAGCCGCGGUAAUACGUAGGGUGCAAGCGUUAAUCGGAAUUACUGGGCGUAAAGCGUGCGCAGGCGGUUAUAUAAGACAGAUGUGAAAUCCCCGGGCUCAACCUGGGAACUGCAUUUGUGACUGUAUAGCUAGAGUACGGCAGAGGGGGAUGGAAUUCCGCGUGUAGCAGUGAAAUGCGUAGAUAUGCGGAGGAACACCGAUGGCGAAGGCAAUCCCCUGGGCCUGUACUGACGCUCAUGCACGAAAGCGUGGGGAGCAAACAGGAUUAGAUACCCCAGUAGUCCCUGUCUCUUAUAU
Molecule: ribosomal RNA, 301 nt
Filed under: uncultured bacterium
Lineage: Bacteria
Description: partial 16S ribosomal RNA
Rfam family: Bacterial small subunit ribosomal RNA
Source: RNAcentral